GGUCGCGUGGCCGAGUGGUCAGGCACAGGUCUGCAAAACCUUUUACCCCGGUUCGAUCCCGGGCGCGACCUCCA
RNAcentral lists this transfer RNA (74 nucleotides) under Candidatus Moraniibacteriota bacterium. RNAcentral describes it as "tRNA-Cys". It matches the Rfam family "tRNA". Rfam says of the family: Transfer RNA (tRNA) molecules are approximately 80 nucleotides in length. The record is from RNAcentral. Lineage: Bacteria; Candidatus Moraniibacteriota.